This 1340-nucleotide long non-coding RNA is filed under the name Apteryx owenii (little spotted kiwi). RNAcentral describes it as "lncRNA (ENSAOWG00000018524.1)". Lineage: Eukaryota; Metazoa; Chordata; Aves; Apterygiformes; Apterygidae. The record is from RNAcentral.
CCCAAUAGGUUUUCCACAGAGUUAAUGAUUUGGGGAAGCUCUGAAAAGCACCAGCGCAGGGAGAGAGUUACAGAACUAUUUGAACAUUAUAAAUUAUGUUCAUGUUGGUGGGAGUCAGAAGCCUUAUGAGACUGGCCAGGCAAGUAUGCUUAUCUUCAGUGAAGACAGAAGAUCACCGCAGCUGUCUUGGGAAAAGGGCGUUCUCUCCAUCCUGGAGAAGGAAAAUCAGAUCCCUAGCUCAUGAAAGGUGUCUGCCAGCAGAACUUUGCCCACCAGGGCCAUAACCACCUUACACCUCUGCCCGAUGGAGCACGCCAGCACAAGUCCAAGAGUCAGCUUGAACAAGUAAGCUAUUACAGCCCUCCGGGAUCCUUGGCUGCAGCUAUACUGCAGGCGACUACGCAGGGUAACCAAGGUCACAGGGAACUUUGUGCCACUGUAACUAGACAUCCUGAGCAUCUCUGUGCUAGGCUGCAGUCUGCAGCGCAGGCAGAUGCCUCUGCUAAAGGAACAGAGGUGAAACUUCCCUACAAGAACUGAGGGCACCGUUCUGCUUUGGCUGUUACCACAGCAUUGAUAGGAUUCAUCUUUUACAGCAUGCAUUUCCCUGUCAGAGGCAAGUAUCACAGAUACUUGGCUCUUCACCAGCUACCAAUUUUUCUAGCCUAAGAACUGAUGAAAAACAUUUUUGGACAGGCUGAAAAAUGAAGUCUUUCACUCUGCACACAGAGCAGAGAACAGGAGGCAGCAACGCAGGCUUCGUGCUCCAGGAAUCAAUGUGCAAGGCCCUGACGAAUCUUUAAAGGGUUCGAUUCCAACAGGCUGGCAGUGAGAAAUUGCUUGCUCCACAAGCAGUCCUCAUCACCAAACAAACAGCAAACUCCUCUUCAGCGACUGCAAGAGGACUGAGCUCUGACUCUAGAAAUUUGUGCCCUAUGCACAAAUCCACUCUGAAUUUCUCCUGGCAACAGGCAGGCCUCGGUAUGAGAAUAAUGUUCAGACCUAAAUGCAUAGCAUGGACUGGAGGCGAUGGGUAAAGUGGGCUCCGUCUCUCUACACAGAAUGUGUUUGACACCAUUUGCAAAUUCUUCAAGGCACACAGGCAUGAGAUAUGCCCCAGCACGGGAGAAAUGAUUGUCAAAAGUAAAAUAUGAUUGUCAAAUGUUUUGACUCAGUUUCAGUUUUGCAAAGAAACUUUAAAAGCCUGGCUGUCUGAGGGCUUCUGAACUAGCAUAUCCCAGAGAUUUAUAAGACAGUAAUCAAGUAGUCGGUGAACAUGCAUCAUUGCACCAUAUGAAUCUUUUCACUGCACGUCAGAGACCACUACAGGAAAAAAGCUA